This 374-nucleotide ribosomal RNA is filed under the name uncultured bacterium. RNAcentral's name for it is "bacterial SSU rRNA". It matches the Rfam family "Bacterial small subunit ribosomal RNA", at positions 28 to 390 of the family's 1533-position model. The record is from RNAcentral.
GACGAACGCUGGCGGCGUGCCUAACACAUGCAAGUGGAGCGACGAACCGAGGCUUCGGCCUGGGGCAAAGCCGCGAACGGGUGAGUAACACGUGGGUAACCUGCCCUGAUGAUUGGGACAACCCGAGGAAACUCGGGCUAAUACCAAAUGUGCCCUUCGGCCACAAGGCCGCUGGGGAAAGGAAGCUUCGGCCUCCGCAUCUGGAUGGGCCCGCGGCCCAUUAGCUUGUUGGUGAGGUAACGGCUCACCAAGGCGACGAUGGGUAGCUGGUCUGAGAGGACGAUCAGGCCACACUGGGACUGAGACCACGGGCCCAGACUCCUACGGGAGGCAGCAGUGGGGAAUCGUUGCGCAAUGCGCGAAAGCGUGACGCA